GCACCCACUUAUUUAACACCUUCUUAUCCGCCUGGCCCCUGUCUGCUCGGUUUUGGGUUGGGGUGACCGCGGAGCAUAAAAUAGCCUCCACGAAAGAAGGGAUGAUUCCCUCAUUUUAGAACUACACUUCCAAAGACUAACAAAUUAAUUUUAAGUGAUCCGAUACCCGUAUUCGAUCAACGAACCAAGUUACCCUGGGGAUAACAGCGCAAUCUACCUCAAGAGCCCCUAUCGACAGGUGGGUUUACGACCUCGAUGUUGGAUCAGGGUAUCCCAGUGGUGCAGCAGCUACCAAAGGUUCGUUUGUUCAACGAUUAA
Molecule: ribosomal RNA, 318 nt
Filed under: Boophis reticulatus
Lineage: Eukaryota; Metazoa; Chordata; Amphibia; Anura; Mantellidae
Description: partial 16S ribosomal RNA
Rfam family: Bacterial large subunit ribosomal RNA
Source: RNAcentral